CCUUGGCUGGGGUAGAGACAGAGAGAAGAGACGCAAGUUGGGGACCUGCAAGUAGGGUUCCAGUCCAGGUCCGCGUGCGCAGGCCGGGCGCCCUCAGGUUUAGCGGCCACGCCCUUGCGUUCCUUCCGGGUUGCGUGAGGAUUCCUGAAACGCAGUUUUCAGCAGCUGCUCUGGGCAGCUCCACACGAUCCUUUCAGCGAAGUUGGCGAGUGUCCGACCCAGACAGAAAAAAGCAAAGCCAGACUCCAAGCGCUAUCAGCCAGGCGUGAUUCUAAGCACUUUUCUGCGCAUUGUCUCUGAGUCCUUAGAUCAGUGCUGUUAUGUCCUGUAUUACAGGUGAGGAAAGAGGGGCAGGGAGCGUGGCUGGUGCUGUCUAGGAUGGGGACUGAAGUCCAGGUGGCCUGGCUGCAGUGCCCCUCUAGUCACCACUGCACUGUCCCCUGCUGACCCGUCACCUGAGUGCCGUUGUCCAAGGGCCUGAGACUGCCGACAGCCAGACAGAUGUGCACACACGCUUACAUGCACAUACUGUUCCAGUCUGAGGCGUCAAACUACAGGGGCUGGUCCAAGCCUCAGGACAAGGACCUGCAGACGUAGAGAUGCAAGGUUUGGCACAGAGAACAGGGCGCCUGCCUUGGUGUUGUCCUGCCCUGCAGCCCCAUCUAAGGACAGCCACCACCAGUACAGGGCCAUAGGGCAGAAACACCUGGAUCCCUGGCAAAGGCUGACAAGCUGGCAUGAGCCAGGGCAGGAGGGAUGGCUGUCCUCAGCUGGUCAGGGAAUACAGGCCAAGUGGACAGGGGCCAGGUGCUCCGG
RNAcentral lists this long non-coding RNA (816 nucleotides) under Homo sapiens (human). RNAcentral describes it as "LHRI_LNC940.1". The record is from RNAcentral. Lineage: Eukaryota; Metazoa; Chordata; Mammalia; Primates; Hominidae.